CCUACGGGAGGCAGCAGUGAGGAAUAUUGGUCAAUGGACGAAAGUCUGAACCAGCCAAGCCGCGUGCAGGAAGACGGCCCUAUGGGUUGUAAACUGCUUUUAUAUGAGAGUAAACGAGGGUACGCGUACCCGCUUGUAUGUACCAUAUGAAUAAGGAUCGGCUAACUCCGUGCCAGCAGCCGCGGUAAUACGGAGGAUCCGAGCGUUAUCCGGAUUUAUUGGGUUUAAAGGGUGCGUAGGUGGAUUGUUAAGUCAGUGGUGAAAGUUUGCGGCUCAACCGUAGAAUUGCAGUUGAUACUGGUAGGCUAGAGUACAGUAGAGGUGGGCGGAAUGUGUGGUGUAGCGGUGAAAUGCUUAGAGAUCACGAAGAACUCCGAUUGCGAAGGCAGCUCACUGGACUGCAACUGACACUGAGGCUCGAAAGUGUGGGGAGCAAACAGGAUUAGAUACCCCUGUAGUC
This 460-nucleotide ribosomal RNA is filed under the name uncultured bacterium. RNAcentral's name for it is "partial 16S ribosomal RNA". It matches the Rfam family "Bacterial small subunit ribosomal RNA", at positions 338 to 795 of the family's 1533-position model. The record is from RNAcentral.